GAUUGUACCUGUUUCGCCUGGAUCCAACAAAUAGGGUUGGCUGAACAUUUACAGCAGCUUGAAAGGUUGAGCCCUGAAAGCCUGCUGAGGCAUCCUGAACACAAUUUACCCUCUCUGCAACAGCUGGAAAGACUUGGCCACCAUUCAUUUAGAUUAGGUGUCCUAGAAGUUCCAGCCAAAAACAGAGUCCUUCUUCCAGUAAUUUAUGUUCCUGAGUGGAGGAAGCCCUGGACUCCAGUUUUCAAGUUAGUUUUCUAUUUCAAGUUUGUCCAAUCUAUUUUGCAGAUCCAUUUUUCUGUUUUUAAAUUAUUAUUAAAUAUUUUGGAUGACUUCUAUUUUGUAAUAGUUUGACAUUUGGUAACUUUCCUUUAAAUUUUCUUAAUAUUGUUUCUUUUGCGAUUCUAUAAUUGUUUUUUCUCAACGAAUUUUGUUAUUUUUCUCAUUCAGUGAAGUAUCUCUUUAAUAAUGUGACUGGCUGGCAUAGCUCUAACUUUGUUAGUUCAUCUAGAUUAAAUUAUCCUUUUUAUCAUAUUGCCAUAGACCAUUUUCAUGGAUAGAAAAUACUACUACAAUCGUCUCCUUUAUUUCUGUAAAGGGAGGUAUGCAGUUCCAUAUUUAUUAAACCUUUGUUCCUAUCUGUGGGAAUUUACUAUUCAGAAGAACCCCCAUGCUUUUGAUGUUGCAAUCAACCUCAUCUUCUAAUUAAAUUAAAAAUAAGGCCUGAGGCUUAAAUGUAUAAGGGGGAUGCCUAUGCAUUCUGGGAGGGCCAGAGGUUUUCUUGUGGGUCCCUGGGACCUGUGAGAAGCUUGCCUCUCAUCCCAGGUGACUCUGGGCAGCAGGAAGACCACAGCCUUGGAUCCAGACUGAGGUCAAGUCCAGCCAAUCAGAGAGAUUCAGCAAAGUGACUUCAUGAAAGAUGUUUCAGGCUGGGAGAAGGAAGGACUUUUUUUAGGCAGAAUCACAAGAGGAAAGCACCAUUGGGUGAGUGCUGGCAUAGCUAAAGCCUGGCUGAGAAGCUGGUGCUUCCAGAGGAGAGAGAGGACUUGCAAAGGGAACAGCUGACCAUGUAUGGCUGGUGCCUUUUCUUUGUCUGACCCA
This 1098-nucleotide long non-coding RNA is filed under the name Monodelphis domestica (gray short-tailed opossum). Its description in RNAcentral is "lncRNA (ENSMODG00000034103.2)". The record is from RNAcentral. Lineage: Eukaryota; Metazoa; Chordata; Mammalia; Didelphimorphia; Didelphidae.